UACGGAGGAUCCAAGCGUUAUCCGGAUUCAUUGGGUUUAAAGGGUGCGCAGGCGGAAUGAUAAGUCAGUGGUGAAAUCUUACGGCUCAACUGUAAAACUGCCAUUGAUACUGUCGUUCUUGAGUACACUUGGAGUGGCCGGAAUGUGUCAUGUAGCGGUGAAAUGCUUAGAUAUGACACAGAACACCGAUCGCGAAGGCAGCUCACUAAGUUGUACCUGACGCUCAGGCACGAAAGCGUGGGGAUCAAAAAGGAUUAGAUACCCUGGUAGUCCACGCCGUAAACGAUGAUCACUCGAUGUUGGCGAUAUGCUGUCAGCGUCUAAGCGAAAGCAUUAAGUGAUCCGCCUGGGGAGUACGAUCGCAAGAUUG
This 370-nucleotide ribosomal RNA is filed under the name uncultured prokaryote. RNAcentral's name for it is "bacterial SSU rRNA". It matches the Rfam family "Bacterial small subunit ribosomal RNA", at positions 524 to 896 of the family's 1533-position model. The record is from RNAcentral.